UAUAUACUCUCUUCGUUCGGAAAUACUUGUCCUAGAAAUGAUUGUAUCUAGAUUUGUUUUAGUUCUAAAUACAACCAUUUCUAAGACAAGUAUUUCCAAACGGAGAGAGUAUUAG
Non-coding RNA from Triticum aestivum (bread wheat), 115 nucleotides. NCBI's taxonomy places the organism in Eukaryota, Viridiplantae, Streptophyta, Magnoliopsida, Poales, Poaceae. The record is from Rfam.